Molecule: non-coding RNA, 65 nt
Organism: Callorhinus ursinus (northern fur seal)
Lineage: Eukaryota; Metazoa; Chordata; Mammalia; Carnivora; Otariidae
Source: RefSeq, a predicted model, not a curated record
CAAAGCGAAAACACUGAGCAGUGAUGAGGAAGGGGAAGCCUCUGGAAAGAGAAAAGCAGAAGAUG